GACGAACGCUGGCGGCGUGCUUAACACAUGCAAGUCGAACGGAAAGGCCCUGCUUGCAGGGUACUCGAGUGGCGAACGGGUGAGUAACACGUGGGUGAUCUGCCCUGCACUUCGGGAUAAGCCUGGGAAACUGGGUCUAAUACCGGAUAUGACCUUCCAUGUAGUGUGGGGGGUGGAAAGAUUUAGCGGUGUGGGAUGAGCCCGCGGCCUAUCAGCUUGUUGGUGGGGUAAUUGCCUACCAAGGCGUCGACGGGUAGCCGGCCUGAGAGGGUGGACGGCCACAUUGGGACUGAGAUACGGCCCAGACUCCUACGGGCGGCAGCAGUGGGGAAUAUUGCACAAUGGGCGGAAGCCUGAUGCAGCGACGCCGCGUGGGGGAUGACGGCCUUCGGGUUGUAAACCUCUUUCGACAGGGACGAAGCUUCGGUGACGGUACCUGUAUAAGAAGCACCGGCUAACUACGUG
RNAcentral lists this ribosomal RNA (465 nucleotides) under uncultured bacterium. RNAcentral describes it as "partial 16S ribosomal RNA". It matches the Rfam family "Bacterial small subunit ribosomal RNA", at positions 28 to 507 of the family's 1533-position model. The record is from RNAcentral.